GUACUGUGCGAACGUUAUUCGGAAUCACUGGGCUUAAAGGGUGCGUAGGCGGUUGAUUAAGUAGGGUGUGAAAGCUCUCGGCCUAACCGAGGAAUUGCGCUCUAAACUGAUCAACUUGAGUGAGAUAGGGGUGUGUGGAACUUCCAGUGGAGCGGUGAAAUGUGUUGAUAUUGGAAGGAACGCCGGUGGCGAAAGCGGCACACUGGGUCUCAACUGACGCUGAGGCACGAAAGCCAGGGUAGCGAACGGGGGAUUAGAUACCCCGGUAGUCCUGGCUGUAAACGAUGAGUACUAGACGGGAGGGGCUUCGGGCCCCAUCCGGUCGCAGCGAAAGCAAUAAGUACUCCGCCUGGGGAGUAUGGUCGCAAGGCUG
RNAcentral lists this ribosomal RNA (373 nucleotides) under uncultured organism. RNAcentral describes it as "partial 16S ribosomal RNA". It matches the Rfam family "Bacterial small subunit ribosomal RNA", at positions 527 to 896 of the family's 1533-position model. The record is from RNAcentral.